This 238-nucleotide ribosomal RNA is filed under the name uncultured bacterium. Its description in RNAcentral is "partial 16S ribosomal RNA". It matches the Rfam family "Bacterial small subunit ribosomal RNA", at positions 96 to 334 of the family's 1533-position model. The record is from RNAcentral.
UGGCGGACGGGUGAGUAACGCGUGGGUAACCUGCCUCAUACAGGGGGGUAACAGUUAGAAAUGACUGCUAAUACCGCAUAAGACCACAGCACCGCAUGGUGCAGGGGCAAAAACUCCGGUGGUAUGAGAUGGACCCGCGUCUGAUUAGGUAGUUGGUGGGGUAACGGCCUACCAAGCCGACGAUCAGUAGCCGACCUGAGAGGGUGACCGGCCACAUUGGGACUGAGACACGGCCCAA